Scophthalmus maximus (turbot) is the source of this 1081-nucleotide long non-coding RNA. RefSeq lists it as uncharacterized. Lineage: Eukaryota; Metazoa; Chordata; Actinopteri; Pleuronectiformes; Scophthalmidae. The record is from RefSeq and is a predicted model, not a curated record. The transcript is spliced from 3 exons.
AGUUUUGACGGGGGGGGGGGGUCCUCUCUCUUCGCACUGGCGUCUUCCGCAGCUCCGGCGCUCAAAAGUAGAAAAAGAAGAGGGAAUCUUGGCAGGACGAGGAGCCGGAGAAGGAGCCGAGGAGCGCGGACCGACAGUGUUGUCAAACUGCAGUGAUGAGGAAAUAUGUGCACAGUGCAGCACCGGAGUGUCGCGGAUCUGCCUACCAACGCACACCCAGACGGGGCAACACCAUGAAAGCAGACUCUUCCGCUCGAUGAGCACUGACGUGCGUUAUCUGGAUGAGGCAGUCAGUGGAAGAAGAGACGCCCCGCCGCUCGGGGCCCUCCAAACCUGAGCCCACACAGACCAGACCAAAGCGGAGAGGCUCCGAGCCGGCCUCUCCCCGGAUUGCCUCAGCAGGUACCUGAGAGUGUGCUGGGGGGCUGGCAGCGUGUUAUCACGCCUGCCACGGGGACACCUGCCUCUGAUGCCGCCCUGGUGAUUCUAAUCUACAGGACCCUUUAAUAAAAUGAUGAUAGGCCGCGCGGCCGCCGCUGCUCUGAGUGAUGGAGCAGGAGCAGGCGUCUGUUGGUGAUGUUGACUGUGUGUGCGCAUGUUCACCUCUGAGCCAUUUGGUGGCAACUGGGGGUUCGUCCUCAGCCGUGCACUGCCACGUCUCAGAGCACGGAGGAAGUGUCCAGUGUGUGGGCGACCGGCUUCAGCUCUCCACUGUCUGUGGUCGUCAUCAGCCUGGAUGACCAAUCCAUAAACUCAGCCAGCCUGAGCAGAUCACGUCACAAUUCGCCAAUCUCCUCGUGGCAGAUUUAAUCACAAUUCUGUCUCCAUAUACAGUUCAAGCCAAUUGACAAGGCAAGAGGCAAAUACUUUGAAUUAUUCAAGGGGUACUGUCUUAUUUCAUGAUGUCGUGUCACCUUGCUGAUCGCUUCACUGUGAUCCUGGCGCAGUGUGUGCUUCCCACAACUUUGAAAUCAAAUUAAUGUCAGAGCUCAGCACAUUUAUGGCUGUUGGAUAUUAUAUGCAUGCAUGCUUUUGUGAAUAAACAAAAACAUCAUGUUUAUAAUGACAAACAAAUCAUUUU